This 357-nucleotide RNase P RNA is filed under the name Parabacteroides sp. PFB2-10. RNAcentral describes it as "RNase P class A". It matches the Rfam family "Bacterial RNase P class A". Rfam says of the family: Ribonuclease P (RNase P) is a ubiquitous endoribonuclease, found in archaea, bacteria and eukarya as well as chloroplasts and mitochondria. Its best characterised activity is the generation of mature 5'-ends of tRNAs by cleaving the 5'-leader elements of precursor-tRNAs. Lineage: Bacteria; Pseudomonadati; Bacteroidota; Bacteroidia; Bacteroidales; Tannerellaceae. The record is from RNAcentral.
GCAGUUUGCCGGUCUGCCGCUCAUCCGCAAGGAUGGGAGGAACGUCCGGGCAACACAGGGCACCAUACUACUUAACGGGUAGCUGUUCGCGAGGGCAGAGUAACGUAACAGAAAACAACCGCCCCCUCGGGGGUAAGGGUGAAAAGGUGAGGUGAGAGCUCACCGGGUUUCGCAGCAAUGCGAGAUGCCGUACGUCUUAUGGGUUGUAAGGUCAUGUAUACCGGCGCAUGUAGGGCUGCCCGCCCGAUGCCGGGGGGUAGACCGCUAGAGCUUUGGUGAGAGCCAGAGUCGAGAUAAAUGGCAGACGCUUCUCCCUCGGGGGAAGUACAGAACCCGGCUUACAGGCAAACUGCAAUU